This is a non-coding RNA of Phrynosoma platyrhinos (Desert horned lizard), 72 nucleotides long. NCBI's taxonomy places the organism in Eukaryota, Metazoa, Chordata, Lepidosauria, Squamata, Phrynosomatidae. The record is from the annotation of a GenBank genome assembly.
GCCAGCGUGGUGUAGUGGUUCAAGUGUUGGAUUAUGACUCUGUAGACUAGGGUUUGAUUCCCUGCUCAGCCA